UGGGGAAUAUUGCACAAUGGAGGGAACUCUGAUGCAGCGACGCCGCGUGAACGAAGAAGGCUUUCGAGUCGUAAAGUUCUUUUAUAUGGAAGAUAAUGACGGUACCAUAAGAAAAAGCCCCGGCUAACUACGUGCCAGCAGCCGCGGUAAUACGUAGGGGGCUAGCGUUGUCCGGAAUCACUGGGCGUAAAGGGUUCGCAGGCGGAAAUGCAAGUCAGGUGUAAAAGGCAGUAGCUUAACUACUGUAAGCAUUUGAAACUGCAUAUCUUGAGAAGAGUAGAGGUAAGUGGAAUUUUUAGUGUAGCGGUGAAAUGCGUAGAUAUUAAAAAGAAUACCGGUGGCGAAGGCGACUUACUGGGCUCAUUCUGACGCUGAGGAACGAAAGCGUGGGUAGCAAACAGG
RNAcentral lists this ribosomal RNA (402 nucleotides) under bacterium. RNAcentral's name for it is "partial 16S ribosomal RNA". It matches the Rfam family "Bacterial small subunit ribosomal RNA", at positions 355 to 776 of the family's 1533-position model. The record is from RNAcentral. RNAcentral also lists the same sequence under 1 other name.